Long non-coding RNA from Piliocolobus tephrosceles (Ugandan red Colobus), 2572 nucleotides. RefSeq lists it as uncharacterized. The transcript is spliced from 3 exons. Lineage: Eukaryota; Metazoa; Chordata; Mammalia; Primates; Cercopithecidae. The record is from RefSeq and is a predicted model, not a curated record.
UUGCAUUGCACCUUCCCACCCAAGCAGCUUGGUUUUCUUUCGCUUUGACCCUAUAAUUUCUUUCCCACUUCGUUGUCGUCUCUGAAUUACCUUUCUCUUGAUUCUUGCCCAUUAGCAGUCCUCUAAUUUCAGAUGUUUGUGGAUCCCCAAGUGUUCCCAGGGAAAACUAGUAGAAAAGGUCAAGCUGAUGCAAGAGGUGGGUUCCCAUGGUCUUGGGCAGCUCCACCCCUGUGGCUUUGCAGGGUACAGUCUCCCUCCUAGCUGCUUUCAUGGGCUGGUGUUGAGUGUCUGCAGCUUUUCCAGGUGCACAGUGCAAGCUAUCAGUGGAUCUACCAUUCUGGGGCCUAUGAUGGGAAGGGCUGCCAUGAAUACCUCUAUUAUGCCCUGGAGGCAUUUUUCCUAUUGUCUUGGGGAUUAACAUUCGGUUCCUUGUUACUUAUGCAAGUUUCUGCAACUGGCUUGAAUUUCUUCUCAGAAAAUGGGAUUUUUCUUUUCUGUCACAUUAUCAGGCUGCAAAUUUUCCAAACGUUUAUGCUCUGCUUCCCUUAUAAAACUGAGUGCCUUUAACAGCACCCAAGUCACCUCUUGAAUGCUUUGCUACUUAGAAAUUUCUUCUGCCAGAUAUGCUAAAUUAUCUCUCUCAAUUUCAAAAUUCCACAGAUCUCUAGGGCAGGGGCAAAAUGCCACUAGUCUCUUUAUUAAAACAUAACAAGAGUCACCUUUGCCCCAGUUCCCAACAAGUUCCUCAUCUCCAUCUGAGACCAACUCAGCCUGGAUUUCAUUGUCCAUAUUGUUAUCAGCAUUUUGGGCAAAGCCAUUCAAGAAGUCUCUAGGGAGUUCCAAACUUUCCCACAUUUUCCUGUCUUUUUCUGAGCCCUCCAAGCUGUUCCAGCCUCUGCCUGUUACCCAGUUCCAAAGUUGCUUUCACAUUUUUGGCUAUCUUUUCAGCAACACCCCACACCUGGAACCAAUUUACUGUAUUAGUCUGUUUUCAUACUGCUGAUAAAAACAUACCUGAGACUGGGCAAUUUACAAAAUAAAGAGGUUUAAUUGGACUCACAGUUCCACGUGGCUGAGGAGGCCUCAGAAUCAUGGUGAAAGGCAAGGAGGAGCAAGUCAUGUCUUACAUCAAUGGCACCAGGCAAAGAGAGCUUGUGCAGGGAUCUCCUGUUUUGAAAACCAUCAGAUCUUGUGAGACUUAUUCACUACCACAAGAACAGUAUGGGGGAAACCACCCCCAUGAUUUAAUUUUCUCCCACAGGGUUCUUCCCACAAGAUGUGGGAAUUACAGGAGUACAAUUCAAGAUGAUAUUUGGGUGGGGACACAGUCAAAACAUAUCAAUCAUUAAACAAGAAAAGUGGGAAACUGUCACAACCAAGAGAUCCCUAAAGAGGUAUGCUGACUGAAUGCAAUGUGGGAUCCUAGGGAAAAGAGAAUAUUAUGUAAAAAUUAAGGAUUUCUGAAUAAAGUAUGGACUUUAUUUAGUUACUAAUAAUGUGUCAAUAAUGGUUCAUUAGAUGUAACAAAUGUACCAUAUUGAUGUAAGAUGUUCAUAGUAGGGAAAACUGAAUAUGAGUAUAUGAGAACUUUCUAUAUUAUCUUUGCAACUUAUUGCUAAAUCUAAAACUAUUCUGAAAUAAAAAAUUAAUUUUUAAAAAGUUGCUUGAACCUUUAUUCUAGCAUUUCCUUAAACAAGCCUCACCAUUGACCUUUCUUUUAAAACAACAAAUUCCUUUUGCUUAAGUCAGUUUCUGUUGGGCUGUCUGUCACUUGCAGUUCAACAAGACCUCCUGGUAAAUUGACUCUGUGUGGAAUCACCAUUACUUCCAUACUAUUUGAAGAUAUAUUUUGCUGCCAAGAGUUUUUUUCUUAAAAUAUCUGAUAUACAAUAACAUUGUAUUGUGUACUUUAAAAUGUGUUGAGAGGGUAGACCUCAUAUUCAGUAUUCUUACCACAUACAGAAAGGGCUAAUAUGAUGUGCCUUUGUGAAUUCAGACCUGAAAGUGCUAUUCUCACCACACAGAUGAAAAAAUACAGUUUGUUUUCAUACAUAGGAGAAAACUGAAUGGGCUACCUUUGAAGUCCAGGGCACCCUCCUCUAUUUUGUUCACUUCCUCAUCAGGCACUAUGUACAGACUGAGAAGAGAAAGACUUCGAAAGAGUGGUCAAGACAGCAACAAAGACAAUGACUGGAAAGACAGAAGAAUUGUGCAGAGAAAGAGGUAGAUAGAAAUGGAAGUCUGUUGUUCCCUUCUGUGUGUCUAUGUGUUUUCAUCAUUUAGCUCCCACUCACAAGUGAGAACAUGCCACAUUUGGUUUUCUGUUCCUGUGUUAGUUUGCUAAGGAUAAUGGCCUCUAGCUCUAUCCAUGUCCCUGCAAAGGACAUGAUCUCAUUCUUUUUAAUGGGUGUAAACUAUUCCAUGGUGUAUAUGUACCACAACACCCCUGAACUUAACUUAAAGUUAAAAAUAAAAAAUAAAAAUGGAAAAACUGGGUAAAGCUAUACUAUCUUUGUAACUCUUCUGUAAAUCUAAAAUUCUAUCAAAAUAAAAAGUUUUAAAUGUAUUUAAA